Molecule: ribosomal RNA, 440 nt
Filed under: uncultured bacterium
Lineage: Bacteria
Description: partial 16S ribosomal RNA
Rfam family: Bacterial small subunit ribosomal RNA
Source: RNAcentral
CCUACGGGGAGCUGCAGUAGGGAAUAUUGCUCAAUGGGGGAAACCCUGAAGCAGCAACGCCGCGUGGAGGAUGAAGGUUUUCGGAUUGUAAACUCCUUUUGUUAGAGAAGAUAAUGACGGUAUCUAACGAAUAAGCACCGGCUAACUCCGUGCCAGCAGCCGCGGUAAUACGGAGGGUGCAAGCGUUACUCGGAAUCACUGGGCGGAAAGAGCGCGUAGGCGGGAUAGCAAGUCAGAUGUGAAAUCCUAUGGCUUAACCAUAGAACUGAAUUUGAAACUGUUAUUCUAGAGUAUGGGAGAGGUAGGUGGAAUUCUUGGUGUAGGGGUAAAAUCCGUAGAGAUCAAGAGGAAUACUCAUUGCGAAGGCGACCUGCUAGAACAUAACUGACGCUGAUGCGCGAAAGCGUGGGGAGCAAACAGGAUUAGAUACCCUUGUAGUC